GAUUGAACGCUGGCGGAAUGCUUUACACAUGCAAGUCGAACGGCAGCACGGGGGCAGUCCUGGUGGCGAGUGGCGAACGGGUGAGUAAUACAUCGGAACGUGCCCGGUCGUGGGGGAUAACGUAGCGAAAGUUACGCUAAUACCGCAUACGAUCUGAGGAUGAAAGCGGGGGACCUUCGGGCCUCGCGCGAUCGGAGCGGCCGAUGUCAGAUUAGGUAGUUGGUGGGGUAAAGGCCUACCAAGCCGACGAUCUGUAGCUGGUCUGAGAGGACGACCAGCCACACUGGGACUGAGACACGGCCCAGACUCCUACGGGAGGCAGCAGUGGGGAAUUUUGGACAAUGGGCGCAAGCCUGAUCCAGCCAUUCCGCGUGCAGGACGAAGGCCUUCGGGUUGUAAACUGCUUUUGUACGGAACGAAAAGGCUCUGGCUAAUACCUGGGGCUCAUGACGGUACCGUAAGAAUAAGCACCGGCUAACUACGUG
RNAcentral lists this ribosomal RNA (485 nucleotides) under uncultured bacterium. RNAcentral describes it as "partial 16S ribosomal RNA". It matches the Rfam family "Bacterial small subunit ribosomal RNA", at positions 27 to 507 of the family's 1533-position model. The record is from RNAcentral.